Long non-coding RNA from Schistocerca americana (American grasshopper), 487 nucleotides. RefSeq lists it as uncharacterized. The transcript is spliced from 3 exons. The record is from RefSeq and is a predicted model, not a curated record. Lineage: Eukaryota; Metazoa; Arthropoda; Insecta; Orthoptera; Acrididae.
GCGGAAGCCGCCCGCCCGCACGCCCCCCCGCUGCUGCAGAGGCCGCACCACCGCCCCCACCACCACCGCGAGCACCAGCAGCACCACGACCAGCCAGACAACUACUCCUCCACUGCUGCACCAGGAAUUCCUGCUCCAGCUGCGACACGCGAAUCUUUCGUCGUCGCGCCCUUCUCGCAACUGGAGGAUGACUUCCAAGAGGCCGAACUAGCGAGGGACGUUCCGCACUCAGAGACAUCUGCCGCCGGCUUCGGAGACCUCCUGCAGCGCGCCAAGCGCCACAUCCUCGACUGGUGGCACGGAGCGGAACCGAGUCAUCACAAGGAAGUUUCAGCCCCGCACUCGCGCGUCCGUCGUCAGGAGGAUGACUACGGCAAUGAAGAUGAUUACGAUGACAACUACAACGGUCCGGACGACGCAGAUGACGACGAGAAUGGCAACUACGACCAGAAUGGCGAGAACGGCAAUGGGGACAACGGCUACGGAC